This 895-nucleotide ribosomal RNA is filed under the name Colletotrichum fioriniae. RNAcentral describes it as "LSU rRNA". It matches the Rfam family "Eukaryotic large subunit ribosomal RNA", at positions 37 to 962 of the family's 3401-position model. The record is from RNAcentral. Lineage: Eukaryota; Fungi; Ascomycota; Sordariomycetes; Glomerellales; Glomerellaceae.
AGCAUAUCAAUAAGCGGAGGAAAAGAAACCAACAGGGAUUGCCCCCAGUAACGGCGAGUGAAGCGGCAACAGCUCAAAUUUGAAAUCUGGCCCCAGGCCCGAGUUGUAAUUUGCAGAGGAUGCUUUUGGCGCGGUGCCUUCCGAGUUCCCUGGAACGGGACGCCAUAGAGGGUGAGAGCCCCGUACGGUUGGACACCAAGCCUUUGUAAAGCUCCUUCGACGAGUCGAGUAGUUUGGGAAUGCUGCUCUAAAUGGGAGGUACAUUUCUUCUAAAGCUAAAUAUUGGCCAGAGACCGAUAGCGCACAAGUAGAGUGAUCGAAAGAUGAAAAGCACUUUGAAAAGAGGGUUAAACAGCACGUGAAAUUGUUAAAAGGGAAGCGCUUGUGACCAGACUUGCGUCCGGUGAAUCACCCAGCUCUCGCGGCUGGGGCACUUCGCCGGCACAGGCCAGCAUCAGCUUGCCGUCGGGGACAAAAGCUUCAGGAACGUAGCUCCUCUCGGGGAGUGUUAUAGCCUGUUGUAUAAUACCCUUCGGCGGGCUGAGGUACGCGCUCCGCAAGGAUGCUGGCGUAAUGGUCAUCAGCGACCCGUCUUGAAACACGGACCAAGGAGUCAACCUUAUGUGCGAGUGUUUGGGUGUUAAACCCCUACGCGUAAUGAAAGUGAACGCAGGUGAGAGCUUCGGCGCAUCAUCGACCGAUCCUGAUGUUCUCGGAUGGAUUUGAGUAAGAGCAUAUAGGGUUGGACCCGAAAGAAGGUGAACUAUGCGUGUGUAGGGUGAAGCCAGAGGAAACUCUGGUGGAGGCUCGCAGCGGUUCUGACGUGCAAAUCGAUCGUCAAACAUGCGCAUGGGGGCGAAAGACUAAUCGAACCUUCUAGUAGCUGGUUUCCCCA